Fukomys damarensis (Damara mole-rat) is the source of this 433-nucleotide long non-coding RNA. RefSeq lists it as uncharacterized. The record is from RefSeq and is a predicted model, not a curated record. The transcript is spliced from 3 exons. Lineage: Eukaryota; Metazoa; Chordata; Mammalia; Rodentia; Bathyergidae.
UAAGGGGAGGGAGAGAUGACUGGACUCGAAGACCUAACCCAACUGUGGAGAGCCGCUUGCCGAAGGGAAGACUGGCUGAGAAACCUUCCCUGAUGCCUCUGGCUGGCCUCUGAGAAAGGACUCCGCAUGGCUCCACCCCAUCCAAAGCUGCAGUGCAGCAAGAGUGGAAGUCUGUGCAAGUUCAGCGGACGCCAUGCCCGGUCUGUGGGCUAUAUGUGUUUUCUCAUUCCAUGUCUGUCGGUGGGGCCUUCUGUGAAUAAUGGAAUAUCCAACAGCCACAAAAAAUAAUGAGAAUGCUUUGGCUAUACUGAGGUAAGAUCAUCUCAAAGAUACAUUGUUGAGUUAAAGAAGCAAGUGUGUUCCCAUCUGCAUUGAAAGAAAAGGACAAUACAUAUAGUGUGUUUGUCUUCAAGUCUUAGUGGAUACACAAGAU